GAUGAACGCUAGCGGCAGGCCUAAUACAUGCAAGUCGGACGGGAUUUGGGAGCUUGCUCCUAAUGAGAGUGGCGCACGGGUGCGUAACACGUAUGUAACCUACCUUAAUCAGGGGGAUAGCCUCUCGAAAGAGAGAUUAACACCGCAUAAUAUAUUUUUAUGGCAUCGUAGAAAUAUCAAAUAUUUAUAGGAUUAAGAUGGGCAUGCGGAACAUUAGCUAGUUGGUAAGGUAACGGCUUACCAAGGCUACGAUGUUUAGGGGAUAUGAGAGGAUGACCCCCCACACUGGUACUGAGACACGGACCAGACUCCUACGGGAGGCAGCAGUAAGGAAUAUUGGUCAAUGGGCGCAAGCCUGAACCAGCCAAGCCGCGUGCAGGAAGACGGCCCUAUGGGUUGUAAACUGCUUUUGUACCGGAAUAAACCCUUUUACGUGUAAGAGGCUGAAUGUACGGUAAGAAUAAGGAUCGGCUAACUCCGUGCCAGCCGCCGCCGUAA
RNAcentral lists this ribosomal RNA (498 nucleotides) under uncultured bacterium. RNAcentral describes it as "partial 16S ribosomal RNA". It matches the Rfam family "Bacterial small subunit ribosomal RNA", at positions 28 to 523 of the family's 1533-position model. The record is from RNAcentral.